Dermacentor albipictus is the source of this 944-nucleotide non-coding RNA. The record is from RefSeq and is a predicted model, not a curated record. NCBI's taxonomy places the organism in Eukaryota, Metazoa, Arthropoda, Arachnida, Ixodida, Ixodidae.
GUAAAACGUGUGCAGGAACUCUCCUGGAGUUGUCUAACGCACAUGCAUAUCCUUUGUUUGAGCGUAGUCAACAGUACCACCAGACCAGUAUUUCGUCUUCAUGCAGUGCAAACAUACCCCUUGCGAUGCCACACCAAUCCGGCCCAACCGACCACCCAGCGUCGCACGUGCAUUGGCUUCACAUUAUCAAAGAAUGCCAUUGCAGCUGCGAGUGAAACAAUGACCGCCGAUCAAGACAAUGAAUGAGUGUGGGCACAAAAAAUCCUUGACAGUGCGAACUUUCUUCGGAUCGGGACGAACACCGGAAGAGUCGAUGAGGUGUCCAAUCACAGAUCCAUGUCAUCAACUGCAACAUCCGAAUACCCAGAAAGAAAGUCCAUCGAAGAAAAUACUUGGAACCAAUGAGACAGUCAAGGGCGUCAUCUACCCGAGGCACCAGGACCACCACUGACAGCGAGUGUAGCACGAUGGAGAAGAUGGUCAUGGAGCGAUGAUACUGCAGCAAGAAGCUAAUGGCACGCCAAACGCGCAUGAUGCAAGCGUCAUGUGCCAGACCCGACAUCGAAGCGACCGAGACCGGCUGGGAAUGAUACAGCGUGUCCGGCUGUCUCCACGGAGUUUCCACUUUCACGCCAAGAUGCUCGACGUCCAACCGCCCGCUAAACAAAACACCUACCAGGAUAUAUCAGUAAUAAUUCUCUUGCCGAGUGGACGACAUGGGCCUGGAUAUGUGUAAAUGGGUAUGAGCCACGGGGCAUGUUCCAUUCAUGGCGAAUUCCUCAUGAAUGUGUGCAUUGGACACACGAAAUGUUCGAUAAGGACACACAUGGUGCUUGAACGGGGCCGGAAUGCCGCAGCAACCCCGUCUUAAGACAUGCGACAUCAUUGUCAUGUGCCGCGCAUUGCGAUGCGCACUAGUUCUCGGCGCCAGUAUAUGAACCACU